This 254-nucleotide ribosomal RNA is filed under the name uncultured bacterium. RNAcentral's name for it is "partial 16S ribosomal RNA". It matches the Rfam family "Bacterial small subunit ribosomal RNA", at positions 524 to 776 of the family's 1533-position model. The record is from RNAcentral.
UACGUAGGGUCCGAGCGUUGUCCGGAUUUAUUGGGCGUAAAGAGCUCGUAGGCGGUUCCGUAAGUCAGAUGUGAAAACUCAGGGCUCAACCCGGAGACGCCAUCUGAUACUGCGGUGACUGGAGUCUGGUAGGGGAACACGGAAUUCCUGGUGUAGCGGUGAAAUGCGCAGAUAUCAGGAGGAACACCGGUGGCGAAGGCGGGUCUCUGGGCCGAUACUGACGCUGAGGAGCGAAAGCGUGGGGAGCGAACAGG